Molecule: long non-coding RNA, 845 nt
Organism: Dicentrarchus labrax (European seabass)
Lineage: Eukaryota; Metazoa; Chordata; Actinopteri; Moronidae
Exons: 4
Source: RefSeq, a predicted model, not a curated record
AAGAGAUAAGGAAGACAGAUGCAUGACAUUUUACAUUUGAAACCUCAGUUUUUUUUAAAACCUCAUCAGAGGAAAGCAGACUGUUCCAGCACUUCACUAUCCUCCCAUUGAUAAAAACCCACGUUUUAGCUGUGUUUGCAGUACCAGGGAAGCGUUGGCAGUGAUUUCUACCACGUGGAGGACAUAGUUGGUCCAUGAUGGCUGUUGGCUUACAGACAGGCCCUGACAACAGCAGUCUGCAGAAUAAACAUGAUUUCAGGCCCUGAGGGUGUAAAGGCAAGCUAGUGCAGAUCUCUUUCUUUACUGCACAGCUCAUCUCUCUGGGCCCUAACCUUUAACCUUUGACCUUUAACCCCUCAUCAUAUAUACUGGCAGCCAAACAACACGUUAUCCACAGGGACUACAGGUAAAUUAACAAUAUGGCAUAUUAUAUUCAUUGUCUUGGUAAACUGCUAAAAUUAGGGGGAAAAUGUUUUUCUCCUCUUCUUUUAGCACUGUAGUUGUAGCUAAUGUUUUCUACCACAUGUAAACUCAUCAGGAUCAUGUAAUUAAUUGUCCUCAAACUCUGCAAUACUUUUACGCCCUCCAUCACUUCUCUUUCCUAUUGACAUCUGCCCACCUACCCUCACCCAUACUCUAGGGACCACGUGAGGUGAGUUUCAACUGAGCUGCUUGGGGCAAGAUGAGCUCACAGGUAACUUCACCCCCGUCCUUCCUCCUCCUUCUCCCCUUCCUGUCGGCCAAACAGGUCUCUACCUGUCCAGGUGAGCCAAUAGCCCUGUCACUCCUACCCCUAACACCGUUUUGUUUUACUACUUUUGAAACUGGGUGAGGGGUUUAUAAUA